Molecule: non-coding RNA, 73 nt
Filed under: Phaeomonas parva
Lineage: Eukaryota; Pinguiophyceae; Pinguiochrysidales; Pinguiochrysidaceae
Source: RNAcentral
UUUUGUUUUUGUUUUUGUUUUUUGCUUUUGUUUUUUCAUAUCAGGUUUCAGGCAAGAAAAAGAAAGAAAAGAA